Molecule: long non-coding RNA, 582 nt
Organism: Salvia miltiorrhiza (redroot sage)
Lineage: Eukaryota; Viridiplantae; Streptophyta; Magnoliopsida; Lamiales; Lamiaceae
Exons: 3
Source: RefSeq, a predicted model, not a curated record
AUUCCCUACUCUUUUACCCCAAAUACCAUUCCCGUUCGCACCCUUUACUGCAGAAACACCCAUCACCAGUCGUCCUCAUUUCCUCCCAAUCAUUCGGGUCAUAUAUCUCACUCCAAUAUUAUCUUCCACAAACAAAGCAAGAAAUAGAGAAAACUCAAAACAGUCACACCACUCAGUUUAUUCAAAGCCAGAGCCACAGAACCACCAAGUGUGGCGUGAGUUCAGUCAGGGCUAGGAGGGGUUGAAGCAGGGAGAGCGGCGACAGAGGCUGAAGGGCUGCUGCUGUCCGGAUCGAAGGAGAAGGGGGCGGCGACAAUUUUUGCCGUUCGCCGUGGGAAUAGAGAGGGAGACGGGAUCGUUGAUGGUGAGGAUCGGAAAACGGCGGAGGCUGCUGCCCGUUCCGAUGAGAGAACGAGGGAGAUGGAGAUGGUGGAGGGCGGCGGUGACAGCGGGCCUGGUGGCUGAUGCUGUUGUCGCCGGACGAGAGUAGGGCGGCGAUUCUCGCCGUGAAUCGAGGGUGAAGCGGUGGCAGCCGUUGCUUGUUGUCGAGUGACAGGAAAGGGAGGGGAUUUCAGAGAGACU